GUGAUUGUAGCAUUAGAAUAAAUAUAUUUGUCACUGUCGUAAAAAAAAUAACUCUUCAGAAUGUGUCUUAUUUAGGGUAACCAAAUAAUAAAAAGAAAUUAGUUUGGUAAAUCUCCCUCUUACUCUUUUCGGAGAUCCGAAUUCAAACUGACCAAAAAGACAAACAAACAACAACAACAACAACAACAAUCCAGUAUAAUCCCACUUAGUAGGGUCUGGGAAGGGUAGUGUGUACAGAGACCUUACCCCUACCCUUGGGUAGAGAGGCUGUUUCCAAAUAGACC
RNAcentral lists this long non-coding RNA (284 nucleotides) under Nicotiana benthamiana. RNAcentral's name for it is "long non-coding RNA (NBEN_LNC001627)". Lineage: Eukaryota; Viridiplantae; Streptophyta; Magnoliopsida; Solanales; Solanaceae. The record is from RNAcentral.